This 433-nucleotide ribosomal RNA is filed under the name uncultured bacterium. Its description in RNAcentral is "partial 16S ribosomal RNA". It matches the Rfam family "Bacterial small subunit ribosomal RNA", at positions 29 to 507 of the family's 1533-position model. The record is from RNAcentral.
AACGAACGCUGGCGGCAUGCCUAACACAUGCAAGUCGAACGAUGCCUUCGGGUCUUGUUUCUCACGAUGGCGUGCCACGGGGUAACUUGCCCGUAGGUAACCUAUCACUCCCCGAAGGGGGAGCUAUUACAGGGUAAUCUCUUCCGACCAAAGAUUUAUCGGCUUUGGAUGGGCCCGCGUUAGAUUAGCUAGUUGGUAGAGUAAAAGCCUACCAAGGCGACGAUCCAUAGCUGGGCUGAGAGGAUGAUCAGCCACACUGGGACUGGGACACGGACCAGACUCCUACGGGAGGCAGCAGGGGGGAAUAUUGGACGAUGGGCGAAAGACUGAUGCAGCAAGGCCGCGAGAGUGAUGAAGGCCUUAGGGUUGUAAAGCUCUGUUGAACGGGAUGAUAAUGACAGUACCGGGAGAAUAAGCGACGGCUAACUCCGUG